RNAcentral lists this ribosomal RNA (253 nucleotides) under uncultured bacterium. RNAcentral describes it as "partial 16S ribosomal RNA". It matches the Rfam family "Bacterial small subunit ribosomal RNA", at positions 524 to 776 of the family's 1533-position model. The record is from RNAcentral.
UACGGAGGUUGCAAGCGUUAUCCGGAAUCACUGGGUUUAAAGGGUGCGUAGGCGGCUUGAUAAGUCAGGGGUGAAAGCCCGCAGCUUAACUGCGGAACUGCCUUUGAUACUGUCGAGCUUGAAAGAGGUUGAGGUCAGCGGAACGUGACAUGUAGCGGUGAAAUGCAUAGAUAUGUCACAGAACACAGAUUGCGAAGGCAGCUGGCUGGACCUACUUUGACGCUGAUGCACGAAAGCGUGGGGAGCGAACAGG